AGGGAUGGGGCUGGCGGGCCUACACAUGCAAGUCGAGCGGUAGCACAGGGAGCUUGCUCCUGGGUGACGAGCGGCGGACGGGUGAGUAAUGUCUGGGAAACUGCCCGAUGGAGGGGGAUAACUACUGGAAACGGUAGCUAAUACCGCAUAACGUCUUCGGACCAAAGUGGGGGACCUUCGGGCCUCACACCAUCGGAUGUGCCCAGAUGGGAUUAGCUAGUAGGUGAGGUAAUGGCUCACCUAGGCGACGAUCCCUAGCUGGUCUGAGAGGAUGACCAGCCACACUGGAACUGAGACACGGUCCAGACUCCUACGGGAGGCAGCAGUGGGGAAUAUUGCACAAUGGGCGCAAGCCUGAUGCAGCCAUGCCGCGUGUGUGAAGAAGGCCUUCGGGUUGUAAAGCACUUUCAGCGAGGAGGAAGGGUUCGGUGUUAAUAGCACCGUUCAUUGACGUUACUCGCAGAAGAAGCACCGGCUAACUCCGUGCCAGCAGCCGCGGUAAUACGGAGGGUGCAAGCGUUAAUCGGAAUUACUGGGCGUAAAGCGCACGCAGGCGGUUUGUUAAGUCAGAUGUGAAAUCCCCGAGCUUUACCUUGGGAACUGCAUUUGAAACUGGCAAGCUAGAGUCUUUGUAGAGGGGG
Molecule: ribosomal RNA, 641 nt
Filed under: Serratia fonticola
Lineage: Bacteria; Pseudomonadati; Pseudomonadota; Gammaproteobacteria; Enterobacterales; Yersiniaceae
Description: bacterial SSU rRNA
Rfam family: Bacterial small subunit ribosomal RNA
Source: RNAcentral